CCCCUAAUUUGUAUGGAACAAAACAAAAUGGAUUUAAAGAAGACAUUCUUUGUUCUAGUUUCAUAUAUGUACCUGAAUUAUAGUGAAGCUUUCGAACAUCAAGUGUGUUUUAACGAUAAAACGGAAGUCUACGUGUGUUGUCAGGAUUUUAGGAAUGUUUCUGGAAAAUGCGAAGCUUGCAUCGGUUCAUGGGGAACCGAAUGUCGUAACAACUGUUCAUUUGGUUUUUAUGGACACGGAUGUCGUCAUAAGUGCAGUUGUAGUAAUCGGCAGAUAUGCAAUACCAAACAAGGAUGUAUUGAACCAU
Long non-coding RNA from Magallana angulata, 307 nucleotides. RefSeq lists it as uncharacterized. The transcript has 3 exons. Lineage: Eukaryota; Metazoa; Mollusca; Bivalvia; Ostreida; Ostreidae. The record is from RefSeq and is a predicted model, not a curated record.